GACGAACGCUUGCGGCGUGCUUAACACAUGCAAGUCGAACGGAAAGGCCCUGCUUUUGUGGGGUGCUCGAGUGGCGAACGGGUGAGUAACACGUGAGUAACCUGCCCUUGACUUUGGGAUAACUUCAGGAAACUGGGGCUAAUACCGGAUAGGAGCUCCUGCUGCAUGGUGGGGGUUGGAAAGUUUCGGCGGUUGGGGAUGGACUCGCGGCUUAUCAGCUUGUUGGUGGGGUAGUGGCUUACCAAGGCUUUGACGGGUAGCCGGCCUGAGAGGGUGACCGGCCACAUUGGGACUGAGAUACGGCCCAGACUCCUACGGGAGGCAGCAGUGGGGAAUAUUGCACAAUGGGCGGAAGCCUGAUGCAGCAACGCCGCGUGCGGGAUGACGGCCUUCGGGUUGUAAACCGCUUUCGCCUGUGACGAAGCGUGAGUGACGGUAAUGGGUAAAGAAGUACCGGCUAACUACGUGCCAGCAGCCGCGGUGAUACGUAGGGUGCGAGCGUUGUCCGGAUUUAUUGGGCGUAAAGGGCUCGUAGGUGGUUGAUCGCGUCGGAAGUGUAAUCUUGGGGCUUAACCCUGAGCGUGCUUUCGAUACGGGUUGACUUGAGGAAGGUAGGGGAGAAUGGAAUUCCUGGUGGAGCGGUGGAAUGCGCAGAUAUCAGGAGGAACACCAGUGGCGAAGGCGGUUCUCUGGGCCUUUCCUGACGCUGAGGAGCGAAAGCGUGGGGAGCGAACAGGCUUAGAUACCCUGGUAGUCCACGCUGUAAACGGUGGGUACUAGGUGUGGGGUCCAUUCCACGGGUUCCGUGCCGUAGCUAACGCUUUAAGUACCCCGCCUGGGGAGUACGGCCGCAAGGCUAAAACUCAAAGGAAUUGACGGGGCCCCGCACAAGCGGCGGAGCAUGCGGAUUAAUUCGAUGCAACGCGUAGAACCUUACCUGGGUUUGACAUGGAUCGGGAGUGCUCAGAGAUGGGUGUGCCUCUUUUGGGGUCGGUUCACAGGUGGUGCAUGGCUGUCGUCAGCUCGUGUCGUGAGAUGUUGGGUUAAGUCCCGCAACGAGCGCAACCCUUGUUCACUGUUGCCAGCACGUUAUGGUGGGGACUCAGUGGAGACCGCCGGGGUCAACUCGGAGGAAGGUGGGGAUGACGUCAAGUCAUCAUGCCCCUUAUGUCCAGGGCUUCACGCAUGCUACAAUGGCUGGUACAGAGAGUGGCGAGCCUGUGAGGGUGAGCGAAUCUCGGAAAGUCGGUCUCAGUUCGGAUUGGGGUCUGCAACUCGACCUCAUGAAGUCGGAGUCGCUAGUAAUCGCAGAUCAGCAACGCUGCGGUGAAUACGUUCCCGGGGCU
RNAcentral lists this ribosomal RNA (1346 nucleotides) under uncultured bacterium. Its description in RNAcentral is "partial 16S ribosomal RNA". It matches the Rfam family "Bacterial small subunit ribosomal RNA", at positions 28 to 1381 of the family's 1533-position model. The record is from RNAcentral.